CUUGCUUCUCUUGAGAGCGGCGGACGGGUGAGUAAUGCCUAGGAAUCUGCCUGGUAGUGGGGGAUAACGUUCGGAAACGGACGCUAAUACCGCAUACGUCCUACGGGAGAAAGCAGGGGACCUUCGGGCCUUGCGCUAUCAGAUGAGCCUAGGUCGGAUUAGCUAGUUGGUGGGGUAAUGGCUCACCAAGGCGACGAUCCGUAACUGGUCUGAGAGGGUGAUCAGUCACACUGGAACUGAGACACGGUCCAGACUCCUACGGGAGGCAGCAGUGGGGAAUAUUGGACAAUGGGCGAAAGCCUGAUCCAGCCAUGCCGCGUGUGUGAAGAAGGUCUUCGGAUUGUAAAGCACUUUAAGUUGGGAGGAAGGGUUGUAGAUUAAUACUCUGCAAUUUUGACGUUACCGACAGAAUAAGCACCGGCUAACUCUGUGCCAGCAGCCGCGGUAAUACAGAGGGUGCAAGCGUUAAUCGGAAUUACUGGGCGUAAAGCGCGCGUAGGUGGUUUGUUAAGUUGGAUGUGAAAUCCCCGGGCUCAACCUGGGAACUGCAUUCAAAACUGACUGACUAGAGUAUGGUAGAGGGUGGUGGAAUUUCCUGUGUAGCGGUGAAAUGCGUAGAUAUAGGAAGGAACACCAGUGGCGAA
Molecule: ribosomal RNA, 644 nt
Filed under: uncultured bacterium
Lineage: Bacteria
Description: bacterial SSU rRNA
Rfam family: Bacterial small subunit ribosomal RNA
Source: RNAcentral